AAUCGCCUUGAACAUAUUAGCAUGGAAUAAUAAUAUAGGAUCUUGGUUCUAUUUUGUUGGUUUCUAGAGCUAAGAUAAUGAUUAAUAGGGACAAUUGGGGGCAUUCGUAUUAACGCGUCAGAGGUGGAACUCUUGGAUUGCGUUACGACGAACUACUGCGAAAGCAUUUGCCAAGGAUGUUUUCAUUGAUCAAGAACGAAAGUGAGGGGAUCGAAGACGAUUAGAUACCGUCGUAGUCUUCACCAUAAACUAUGCCAACUAGAGAUGGGGUGUCGUUCUUUUCUGACUCACUCCGCACCUUAUGAGAAAUCAAAGUCUUUGGGUUCCGGGGGGAGUAUGGUCGCAAGGCUGAAACUUAAAGGAAUUGACGGAAGGGCACCACCAGGAGUGGAGCCUGCGGCUUAAUUUGACUCAACACGGGAAAACCCACCAGGUCCAGACAUAGUAAGGAUUGACAGAUUGAUAGCUCUUCCUUGAUUCUAUGGGUGGUGGUGCAUGGCCGUUCUUAGUUGGUGGAGUGAUUUGUCUGCUUAAUUGCGUUAACGAACGAGACCUUAACCUGCUAAAUAGAUCAUCCUAUCUUCGGAUAAGAUGCUUUCUUCUUAGAGGGACUUUGUGUUUUUCAGCGCAAGGGAGUUUGAGGCAAUAACAGGUCUGUGAUGCCCUUAGAUGUUCUGGGCUGCACGCGCGCUACACUGAUGCGUUCAACGAGUGUAUCACCUUGUCCGACAGGAUUGGGUAAUCUUUUGAACACGCAUCGUGAUGGGGAUAGAUUAUUGCAAUUAUUAAUCUUCAACGAGGAAUUCCUAGUAAUGAUGAGUCAUCAGUUCAUCGUGAUUACGUCCCUGCCCUUUGUACACACCGCCCGUCGCUCCUACCGAUUGAGCAAUCCGGUGAAUACUUCGGACCGGUUGCAUAAUUGGUUCGCCAAUUUUGUGACUGGAAAGUCGAGUGAACCUUAUUGCUUAGAGGAAGGAGAAGUCGUAACAAGGUUUCCGUAG
RNAcentral lists this ribosomal RNA (1001 nucleotides) under Amoebophrya sp. Its description in RNAcentral is "SSU rRNA". It matches the Rfam family "Eukaryotic small subunit ribosomal RNA", at positions 788 to 1808 of the family's 1831-position model. Lineage: Eukaryota; Dinophyceae; Syndiniales; Amoebophryaceae. The record is from RNAcentral.